This is a long non-coding RNA of Malurus melanocephalus (red-backed fairy wren), 9207 nucleotides long. RefSeq lists it as uncharacterized. The transcript is spliced from 6 exons. Lineage: Eukaryota; Metazoa; Chordata; Aves; Passeriformes; Maluridae. The record is from RefSeq and is a predicted model, not a curated record.
GGGCCGCGCCGGGCCGAGCGCCAGCCCCUCUCCACGGAGCCGGCAGCGGGGAAAGGCCCGGCGCUCCGCAUCGGGGCCGCUGAGGUGCGCGGGCAGUGUGGCGCCCUGGCGGGGAGACGCCUCUCCUGCUCGCCUGUCGUUAAAACCACAACAGCAGCAUCGCCACCAUCGCUGCUGCCCGCUGACGGCUCCGCGGUACUGUCGGAGUCACCGCUAGCUCUCGCCUCCGGGCGGCACCCGAGCGGUAACUGCGGCGGCUGGGGGCGCGGGUGGUGCCAUGAGAAGGGAGAAAACUUGCGGGAGCAGCCCUGGCCGAUCGCUUACUGGAGUAGGAAAAAGACUAGAGGACGAUAAAGGRAGAAUGUUGAGACCCGCUGGGGUCUGUCAGCUACAGGUUUUGCAGUUGGCUUAUGGAUUUGUAUGACUGGUUUUGCCGCAGCAMAACAGCAGUAUUUUCUUUCCGCGAUGCAGAGAUACUCACACUAGCUGUUACCUCUUACUCAAAAACUCACCAAGGGAAAAAGCCAAAAGUGCAAAAGAAAAGCCUCUCCUGCUUCCAAACAAGACCUGUGACUUCAGGUCGGUUGAACAUUGGUAGUGCCUGGACGCCUUUACCCCAGUUCUAAGAUCUAAUCAGCCUCACACACUCCCCACACACCCACUGCUCUGCCUCAGCAAUCCUGAGCUGACAGGCUGAUGGAUUCCAGAAAUGGCUUCAGAAUACUAACAUCCACUAUGUCACCUCUUGCUCAGGCCUUUGAAAUCCUUGUGCCAUUCUUCACCACAAUAUGCUAAAAGYGCACCACCUUCUCAGUAACAGGCAGGGGUCACUUACUGUGAGAAGGAUUUUAUUCCAAAUGCUUUGAGCAUUUUUGGAAGAGUGGGUAAGGAAGGUUAUCCUGCAUGCUAUUAUUCUCUCAUGAACGAUUUUAGCUGAAAUUUUCCAGGGUGGGAAUGGAGUAGGGAGUGGAGAGAGGUAAAUGAAGGAGCAGAAACCAUUCCUUGCCCAUGUCAAGCCUGUUAUUUCAGGGUAGAGAGAAUCAUGGGUUGUUUGUGCUAGUGAGCAAGCUUUACUGACUGAUAGACAGUACUUUCUAGUCUCUCUCAGCUGGAAUUAGGGGUUGACAUUUAGUAAUAGCAGUUGACAUUUUGUAAUAGGAAGUGGGAUUAUUAAGGUAAUAUUGUUGAUUGACACAUUCCUCUGUCUGCAAUGCCUGACCUGGUUUGCCUGGUGUGUGAGCUGCUGACAAAUGUGCACAGCUCUUUGUUGUAGGCUGAUGCACAGCUACUUCUGCCCUGCUCUGAAAAGACAUGCAGUGACAUGGGUUGUGUUUGCAAGCGAACUGCCCUCCUGACCCAGCAAUGCUGUCAUGUUGGGAGGAACUUGUACAUCAGCGUGCUGGAAAGAAGCCCAUGUGUGUGUGACAGCAGAAAGACACAUGACAAYGGAGUGGACAGUGCUCACCAGGAGAGCCAUUAUUCCCCCCUCCCACUGUUUUCUCCUGCUGGCAGGCAAGCCCUGUGUGAAAAUGAACUUCACUAAGGCUCUGUCUUCGUGAUGAUCACCGUGCUCUCUCCUUUUUCUGCUUAAAACCUCUGUUAUCAUUAAAGAUGUCUGAACAAUGCUGUCAGAAACCAAAAUCCCAUGGGUAAUACAUCUGCGGAUUCAUUUUGUUAGUAAAAUAUAUUAAAAACUCAAAUUGCACCUAUUUGUAGGGUAGAUCAGUAUCAAAUCUGCCCGAUUUAGCCCUUUUCUAUGUUUUUUCUUAUGUCAAGGUAAUGUGGUGUGCUGUUUCUACUUGAAACAGGAAAGGGGAAAAGACAACAGCAGUAGGAGAGAACUGCUUUGUUGUUUGGAGCAGAACAAUUUGCUCCCACACCUGGAAGUAAAAUAAAUCUUUUUCUUCACUUGUCCUUCUAGAUGUAUCACCUUGCUGUAUGUAACCUUGCAAGGACCGGUCUGGGGCUUCAGGAAGAUAAUCUUACUCAGAGCGGUUCUUUCCAACCUCAUUCCUUUGCUCUGUACCACAUACCCUAUGGGCAGGGGCACCAUUUGUUAGUGGCAACUCAACAAGACUGUGAUAAGAUCAAUGUUGAAGGAGAAUGGCCUCAUCUGCCCUGCAUUUUCUCAUUCUUUUCUGGUGCUCUGCUUCUUCCUGAUAUCUCUGUCUGAUCCUUUCUCCCCUGUGUCACCCUCUCUUUCCCAUACCUAAGCAAAUCUUAUCCCUAUAUUGAUCCUGGUUCUCAUUUCUAGAAGCGGGAAGCAUAAGCCAGAUGUCUGCUUCUCAGUUAAAAGAUUUCUUGUUUUAUAAGUACUUGUACUGAGAUACCUGUAAUCUCUGAUAUGUGAGCAUAUCUAAUAUUCCGUGAAUAGAUCCAGCAAUGCAACUGAUACAAUAGGUAUGGGAAAGAAAGUUUUCAGCAAUGGACUAGUCUCUGGGCCUUGGUUAAUAAAUGGAUGUGAAAUAACUUAGUGCUGGGAGAGGAUUCUGCAUCCCUAGCACUUCUCCAGUAUUCAUCCCCCAUGAUGGUAAUUACAGGAUCGUCCAUGUUCAAAGCAGGGUCAGUAGUUGUGGCUUAAGGGGCAAGGGAAUACCCAAUAUUUAUAGAUGCUCAUGGUUGAAAGAAAUUACAAGUCAGAGGGUCCACAAAAGCUUACAGAGUUUUAUUAGUAAAUUACAUUCUUGGCACAUACAUUAAUUUGAGUUCGUGCUGGACCUACAUGUGCUGGACCUGCACAUGGCACUAGGUUUUGGGUAUCAAGAUGGGAUGAAAGGGAACAGAGAGAGUAGUGGGAAUUGGAGAGUAGGUGGGAGAAUGAAAGGGAGAAAAGGGAGAAAGUGGGAUGACCAAUCUUGGCUCCAGCAUCGAUCCAGCUGAUGGUGUGUUCAGGAUUCUGGGAGUGCCUACACACCUGGGCUUGGUUGGGGUACCUUUUAUAGAUAAAUGUCCCCAUUUUGAAGACAAGUUUCUCACUUUCUAUGCAAGUUAGUAAUCCUGUACAGGCUAUUCCUCUGGACAUUUCUGGAAAUGGGUUGGAGGGUUUUGGGGAACUUUGGUGGUUUUGAUCUGCUCUUCCAUCUAUGCCCACUUCUCAGCCGCAUCUCUGCACUUGUGCUGUGCUGCAUUGUGCUCAUCUCCAGGAGCCAGAUCAAGGGCAUUUGCCCCAGAAACGUGCUGCCCUGCCUCCUUAUGGUCUCUUCUCCAACCACAUCCUGGUCUGUCCAAUUCCUGGCUGUUACUGCCAACAGUCCAUGGUUGCCUCCACAGCUAUCUGGCUAUCAGUGUUUGAAACAUACACAUUAGCCCCUGGGUCUUUAGGAUGAAACAGCAAUGAGGUCAAACCAGUUUACUUAAAACUCAUUCUAGUCUUGAAAACCCUCAGCAGUGGAGACUGCACAACCUCUCUGGGAAAUUGAUUCUACUGCUGGAUCUACAUAUGUCCUAGGACAUAUGCCACAGCACAGCCCUCAGACUGAGUACAAAUCAUUCAGCACAACUCUCUGAACCUCAUUCAAAGCUGGAUCAGUUGGCUACGCAUCCAGACCAUAAUGUCCUAACUUAAAUGCAAGAACACUGGUAGACAAAGUUGAAAAUGUUGCUAAACUCGUGGUAAAUUGCAUCAUUGCUCUCACCUGUCCACAAAUCCCAUUCUUUUAUAAAAAAAUGUCAAUCAGGCACAUUCACAGUUAAGAUUUAUCCUUGGUGAACCUGUGCUGAUUAUUCACAUUUGCCUACAUCUUCUUCAUGUAUUCAGAAAUGUACAAGAGAAUUUUUUUCAUGGUUUUUUUCCCCAGUGAUUGGAAUGUGACUGGACAGUCUGCAGUUGCCUGGGCAACUUUUUAAGUAUAAAAUAUCCUUUGUAAGUAUAAGAGUUCUUUUUAAGUAUAGGUGCAACAUUUCUACAGUUGGCAGGGGCGUCCAUGGGUACUCAAAGAUGGCUGAAAGUGAUCUUGUGAUUGCCUCAGACAUCUUUCUCAGCAUCCUUGGACACAGCCCUUGUGUUUCCAUGGACUUAUAUAAGCCAAGUUUUCUCCAGCAAUUCCUAUUUCACCCACUUAUUGUCAUCUUUCCCCUCCAUGAUUUCCUGGCUUGAAGGUGUGGGAGACCUUGCUUUGUAAAAAGGCGUUGAGUUCCUCAGGUUUGACUGUGUCCACUUUUAGUAAAUCACCCAGCCUACUCAGUGACUGGACUCCAUUUUCUUUGUUCAGCUGCUUACCUCUUAGCCAUUGAAGCUCUCUUUGUUACUAUUGACAUGCAAGUCAAAAUUCCAGAUGAGAUUUUCAUUUCCUGACACCAUUCCUACAUGCCUGGGCAAUGUUUUUAAAUUCCUGUUGUGUAGCCCAUCCCUGCUUCCAUCUCCUGUAUAUUCUUCUUUGGCAUUGGAGUUCUGCCACAAUUCCCUACUUACCCAAGCUGUUCUGCUUAUUUGUCUCUCCUUUUCCUGAAGACAGAGAUGUCCUGCUCUAACACUCAGUUGAAUCUUCAGAGAUCUCAUCACUGCUGGAAAGAGGGACAAAGUGAAAAGCAGCUCCUUCACCUGCUAUCUAAUGAAAGAGCAGAGAGGGCCCUGAAGACUCAUUCUGCAAACCUGGAGGCCAGCAAGCAUACUGUUUGUUUCCAAGUUGCACACUGGAAGGUGAAUUGGAAGAAACUAAUAAAAUCUUUAUGUCAAAGACUGCCACGGUACAAGUCUAAGAGCCUUCCUGGAGCAGAUCAUACAUUAAAAACUACAGCAACAACAAAAGAUUUUUAAAAGCAGAGCAAUUGUUGAGUGCACAGAGGAAACCAGCAGCAAAGUGUCUCCCAGACUGCAAGAGAGUAUUGCAUAUGCAAGUUCCACAUUGCUGGCAGGUAUGGAGAGGGAACAGGAAUGCAGAAGUCACUGCACUGGCAUGUUUGCAGACUGCUGAACCAGACACUUUCCUCCAGACAUAGAUUGGCUGCUUGCUUUGGCAAACAGAGUGAAACAGGCCAGUCAAAUCCCAAAAAAUAUCACAGGAUUCAGCAAAACGCAUGUCCAACACUCUGGGUAGCAAACCAGUUGUCCGGUGGCUGAAUCUUUUCACAGUGAGGUGGGCCCUAGGAAUAAUUCCUCUUGUGAGCCUGGAAAACCAGCCAUAAGAGAACUGUGAGCAGCUGCCAAAAGCAUGGGGAGCUAAGUCACCUCGGCUGCACUAAAUGCUGGUAGAAGACUAGUCCUUUAUGCAGUCUCAUCUCGGAAUAAUUUUCUGCAGGAACUACUGUGAAUUGUCGCAGGAGCUACUGUUGCCUGCUCAGACACCAGAUUCCCACACUGGAAGAGGCAGCUUCCUGCUGACAAGAAAUCAAGAGGCAGCUUCCUGCUCUCCUCUGCUUUGUCUCUAAGUGCAGCCAGCAUGAGCUCAACUGUUUAGUCUGCCUAGUUACUGAACAGUCAACAGGGUACAAGGAAAUUUUAUUUGUCAAGGCCUCCUCCUGCUGUGGAUUGUCGUGAAUCACAGGGUCAAACACACGAACGGUCUGUCUGGGAAACAUGGUUGAAGAACUGUGGAAUAAGAGUCACAUACCAGCAGUCAAUUCCCCUUUGACCUGUAGCUCAAAGGCACAUCAGAAAUACAAUUUAACUAAUCUCAUUAACAACAUGAUGAAACCCAUACCACACACAUUGGAGGGCAACUGUUAAGCUAAAGCUAAUUUGCAUGAAAUUGUUCUAUCCUUCCUAGUAUAAACGCUUCCAAGUAUACAUCAUAGAAGUGGAACACUAGCUCUCCUGUGACACAGGACCAGAAAGAUCAAGAAAGAAAUUGAUUUACGGUAAAGUGAAGUGCCUUGCCUUGCCAAGUGCCUUGCCAAGAUCAAUAGCAUACUUCACCUUAAAAGCUGCAGCAGCAUCUGGAAACAUUUGCACUCCAGUACAUCUACUAUCGUCAUUGAUCUAACAAACUUUAGCAUAUCAUCAGGAUGUCCCUAUAUUUUUCUUGCCACAAGAAAGCUGGUCAUAAAUUUAUAAAACCUGUGGUGGACUUCCCUAACUACAUGCCCAACUCCAUGUGGAUGAAUUACCAGGUGACCACAUUUAUCAGGAAGAAUGCUUUCCAACAGCAUACUGGAUAUGUCCAUCGACUACUAAGAUAAAUCUCUUUUAAUACCGUUGUGAAAAAAUUAUAUAGGGGAGCUUUGCAGAGAAUUGGAAAGCUUGAGGGGAGAAAGUCCAAGGAUGCUCAGGAAGGGUUUAAAAAGGGGACUUUUAAAGGCUUCAGGAAUGCUCAUGCCAUGCUGAAAUUCACAGCAUGGGCUAUAUGUGUCCCAUGGAAGGAAGUAUGUGCACUUCAGCACACAAGAAAAUAGGUGAUAUGGAUCAGGAUCAGGCAGGAUAUAAUUCACCUUCUUGGCCACCUGGGCACACCCCUGGCUCAUGCUCAGCUGGCUGUCAACCAGCACCCCUAGGUCCUUUUUCAUCAGGCAGUUUUCCAGUGACUCUUUCUCAAGCGUGUAGCACUGCACGGGACUCUUGUGACCCAAGGGCAGGAGCCAGCACAUCACCUUGUUGAAUCUCCUACAAUUGGUCUCAGCCCAUCAAUCCAGCCUGUCCAGAUGCCUCUGCAGAGACUUCCUGCCCUGCAGCAGAUCAGCACUCCUGUUUGGUGUCAUCUGCAGGCUGACUGAAGGGCUGCUUGUUCUGUAGUCCAAGUCAUCGAUCAAGAUGUUAAACAGGACCGGCCCCAGUACUGAGCCCUGGGGAAAAGUGCUUGCAACCAACGUCACCUGGACGUGACUCCAUUCAUUACCACUUGGUCCAGCUAUUCAGCCAGAUUUACCCAGGAAAGAGUGCACCCAGUUUCUCCAGGAGAAUGCUGUGGGAGACAGGGUCAAAGGCUUUGUUGAUGCCGAGGCAGACAGCAUCCAAGGCUUUCCCUCAUCCACUCAGCAGGUCAUUCUGUUACCAAAGGAGAUCAGGUUGGUCCUGCCUUUCCCAAAGCUGUGCUGGCUGGGCCUGAUGCCCUGGUUGUCCUGUUCUGCACAAUGGUACCCAAGGUGAUCUGCUCUGUGUCCUUCCCUGGCACCAGUGUCAGACUGACAGGCCUGUAGCUCCCUGGAUUUUCUCUCAGGUGCUUCUUGUGUAAAGGUGUCACACUGAUUAUCUUCUAGUCACCUGGGACCUCCCUGUUUAGUCAGGACUGCUGGUAAAUGAUUGAAAAUGACUCAGUGACUCUGCCCACUUCCUCAGUACCUUUGGGUGGAUUGCAUCUGGUCUCAUAGACUUGUGCGUCUAUGUGUCUAAGUGGUAACUCAGCACAUGCUGGAUACUCAAAUAAAAAUUAUUUUUACCCCUUUUUCUAAGUGUUACUUUCUCCUUAUAGCCUGUUGCUCUUUAGAGACUUCACUUCUGCUUCAUCAUCUCUGCUUGUGAUUUUGUACACGUUGCUGGAAUUUAAAUGUUGAUGUUUGUGGUUUCCACAUGUGUAGGCAAUCAAAAAUUUGACCAUCAGUUUUCAGUCUGGCAUAUUAGAGCCAAAUGAUAAUUGAUGGUUAUGAAGAAGUGCACCAGUCAGGAAGGUAACUUCCUCCUCAGUUUUAGUGCAAUAACUACAGCUGACAGUCACAGGGACAAAACAUUGCCGUGCACAAUGCAGUAGGCUGCUGAUAACAUUCCUCUUACAAGAGCAAGCUCCGGGUUCUGAGAAUGGAAUAUCCAAGAUGCAGAACUCCUGGGAAAUGAGCAAGAGCUUCUGUUUUGCUUCUCCCUGAUGACCCCUGUGCUCAGUAUAAAUUUUGUAACUUAAAAGUAAGAAUAUAGCUAAAGCUUUUUUAUUUAAUAACCARAUUGUUGAAGGGAUCUAAGCUGUAUUCAUGUAUAUUACAGUAGAUCGGUUGAGUAGGCAUGGCCACAACUGCUUAAGGUGCCAUCUUCUAAAAAAAUUGUCAUAAGAGAGAGUCAACACACAUAGGCCUUAACGAUUUCCAAAUCUGCAAUGUUUGUUUGGAAAAUUAGUGGUAGAGGAUUCUUGAGUCAGUAAAUCUGUCACUAUUUCUACUUUUCUAUGUAAUGCUCCUCUUUGAAUCAUUAGAUUGAAGAAAAAGUCUUCUGGUGAGGAAGACUUCAUAACCAGAAAUUCCUAAUUGCUAGCUAACAGUUACAUGCUCUGGUGAGAGCAUUUAUCUUUCACUUACCAGCAGGAAUAUUUGUCAGCCUAAAUUUACUUAAAUGGCUAGUAUUUGCUUUUUCCUCUUUUACAAAUGAUUGCUGAAUCAGUUUGUCUCAUACAGUCGAGUGGAUUUGGCUAGAGAAUGAACCUGAUUUAUUUGACUUUCAGACUAGAGAGAAAACAAAGAAUUUUUUUUCCAUGGGAGGAAAUGGAGGCGUUUGAAAGCCAAUAACAGUGACGAUUGAAGAGCUCAAGAGGGUUGGAAUGACCGAGGGUAUAGUUAAAAAUCUAUUGCUUGGGUUUAAAUCUCUCUGAGCUUUAUAGUAGCCCUCAAUUAUAAAAAAAAUUAUGCAGUUUAGGAAUAAAACUUUUCAGCUAGAGACUGAAAGCAAUUUCAGUCAAUUCUUUAGCAGGGACAACAGGAAGAAAGAUAUCAUCUCCCCACACACCGCAUAUUAAAGGUUAUUGAAAGAAACAGGCAUUUCCUACUUUUUAGCAGAUGCAAGACGUUGCGUAACAGUUAUAGAGUUAAAAAUCUGUGGAUUAUGCUUAAGCUAAGGUACAUCUAUAACAAAAUAAUGAUCCAUAUUUCAGAAUGUCUGAACUUGUGGGGCAGUGAGCCUCCAAGUUGUCUCUUGCCAAGUCAGUUUGCUGACUGCCACCUACACAGCUGUGUCCAUAGCUGGUGGUAGCUCAUAGCUCCUCCUGUAAGGGACCUUUAAGUCUUUAUUUUUAAACCAGAGGAUUGAUAGACCACAACUCUGAAGCUAAAAUGCAACUGUGGUGAGACUGAUAUUCAAAAAAUUUUUCCCAGUGACUCCUAGGCAAGAAUGAAGUUAUUUAGGAAGUUUUCAGAAUGACCAUGCAGAACCUAGUGUAAGCAUACCAGUGCUCAGUCUGGUGAUAACUGAAGAAGCAACACUGCUGCUCCACCUUAUCAUCCUUUGGGUAGAGAGACUGUCCUGAGUCCAAAGGCCCCUUCCAAUUUCAUACAUUCUGUGUGUGUGUUGUGAUAAUGUCCAGACCUUACAGGUUUAACCAUUAGAAUAGGGUACUUAAAUAAUUUGUGCCUAUGUGU